UACGGAAGGCAGCAGUGGGGAAUAUUGCACAAUGGGCGAAAGCCUGAUGCAGCUAUGCCGCGUGUAUGAAGAAGGCCUUAGGGUUGUAAAGUACUUUCAUCGGGGAGGAAAAAACAAAAACUAAUAAUUUUAUUUCUUGACGUUACCCGAAAAAGAAGCACCGGCUAACUCCGUGCCAGCAGCCGCGGUAAUACGGAGGGUGCUAGCGUUAAUCAGAAUUACUGGGCGUAAAGAGCACGUAGGUGGUUUUUUUAAGUCAGAUGUGAAAUCCCUGGGCUUAACCUAGGAACUGCAUUUUGAAACUGAAAUACUAGAGUAUCGUAGAGGGAGGUAGAAUUCUAGGUGUAGCGGUGAAAUGCGUAGAUAUCUGGAGGAAUACCUGUGGCGAAAGCGGCCUCCUAAACGAAUACUGACACUGAGGGUGCGAAAGCGUGGGGAGCAAACAGGGAUUAGAUACC
This 458-nucleotide ribosomal RNA is filed under the name uncultured bacterium. RNAcentral describes it as "bacterial SSU rRNA". It matches the Rfam family "Bacterial small subunit ribosomal RNA", at positions 340 to 786 of the family's 1533-position model. The record is from RNAcentral.